RNAcentral lists this ribosomal RNA (402 nucleotides) under bacterium. Its description in RNAcentral is "partial 16S ribosomal RNA". It matches the Rfam family "Bacterial small subunit ribosomal RNA", at positions 355 to 776 of the family's 1533-position model. The record is from RNAcentral.
UGGGGAAUUUUGCACAAUGGGGGAAACCCUGAUGCAGCGACGCCGCGUGAUUUAGAAGGCCUUCGGGUUGUAAAAAUCUUUUCUAUGGGAAGAAAAUGACAGUACCAUAGGAAUAAGGACCGGCUAAUUACGGGCCAGCAGCCGCGGUAAUACGUAAGGUCCGAGCGUUGUCCGGAAUCAUUGGGCGUAAAGGGUACGUAGGCGGGUAAGCAAGUUAGAAGUGAAAUCCUAUAGCUCAACUAUAGUAAGCUUUUAAAACUGCUCAUCUUGAGGUAUGGAAGGGAAAGUGGAAUUCCUAGUGUAGCGGUGAAAUGCGCAGAUAUUAGGAGGAAUACCGGUGGCGAAGGCGACUUUCUGGCCAUAACCUGACGCUGAGGUACGAAAGCGUGGGUAGCAAACAGG